This 26-nucleotide unclassified non-coding RNA is filed under the name Chlamydomonas reinhardtii. Its description in RNAcentral is "small RNA Cre_0693". The record is from RNAcentral. Lineage: Eukaryota; Viridiplantae; Chlorophyta; Chlorophyceae; Chlamydomonadales; Chlamydomonadaceae.
AUCCCCGUCCUUGAAGCGGGCAGCUU